GUAGGGAAUAUUGGGCAAUGGAGGCAACUCUGACCCAGCCAUGCCGCGUGCAGGAUGACGGCCCUCUGGGUUGUAAACUGCUUUUAUUCGGGAAUAAACCUCUUUACGUGUAGGGAGCUGAAGGUACCGAAGGAAUAAGCACCGGCUAACUCCGUGCCAGCAGCCGCGGUAAUACGGAGGGUGCAAGCGUUAUCCGGAAUCAUUGGGUUUAAAGGGUCCGCAGGCGGGCUAUCAAGUCAGAGGUGAAAUCCCACAGCUUAACUGUGGAACUGCCUUUGAAACUGAUGGUCUUGAAUUAAGUGGGCGUUGGCGGAAUAUGACAUGUAGCGGUGAAAUGCAUAGAUAUGUCAUGGAACACCGAAAGCGAAGGCAGCUAACGAUACUUAUAUUGACGCUCAUGGACGAAAGCGUGGGUAGCGAACAGGAUUAGAAACCCCAGUAGUCC
This 445-nucleotide ribosomal RNA is filed under the name uncultured bacterium. RNAcentral describes it as "partial 16S ribosomal RNA". It matches the Rfam family "Bacterial small subunit ribosomal RNA", at positions 354 to 796 of the family's 1533-position model. The record is from RNAcentral.